Molecule: ribosomal RNA, 253 nt
Filed under: uncultured bacterium
Lineage: Bacteria
Description: partial 16S ribosomal RNA
Rfam family: Bacterial small subunit ribosomal RNA
Source: RNAcentral
UACGUAGGGGGCAAGCGUUGUCCGGAAUCAUUGGGCGUAAAGAGCGUGUAGGCGGUUCGGUAAGUCCGCUGUGAAAGUCCAGGGCUCAACCCUGGAAAGCCGGUGGAAACUGUCGAGCUAGAGUCCGGAAGAGGCGAGUGGAAUUCCUGGUGUAGCGGUGAAAUGCGCAGAUAUCAGGAGGAACACCAAUGGCGAAGGCAGCUCGCUGGGACGGUACUGACGCUGAGACGCGAAAGCGUGGGGAGCAAGCAGG